Molecule: long non-coding RNA, 1341 nt
Filed under: Capra hircus (goat)
Lineage: Eukaryota; Metazoa; Chordata; Mammalia; Artiodactyla; Bovidae
Description: lncRNA (ENSCHIG00000002684.1)
Source: RNAcentral
GGAAGAAAUUAACUACUUGAUGAUCAGGAGCGUUUAGCCCCCAGGCCUUCUGACGCCUAAGGAUUGCUCACGUUACUUCAGCCAAUCAGAGAACUGUGCACGAGUGGAUUGCUUAUCCUGUAGCCCGCCUUCCUCACCGUGCCUUUCAAAAUACUUUGCUGAAACCUUCUGGAGAGUUGGGGGUUUGAGGGCAAGAAAGAAAGUGAAAGAAAGAAAGCGAAGUCGCUCAGUCAUGUCCAGUUGCUUAGUCGUGUCCGACUCUUUGCAACCCCGUGGACCAGGAUUCUCCAUCCAUGGGAUUUUCCAGGUGAGAAUACUGGAGUGGGUUACCAUUUCCUUCUUCAGGGGAUCUUCCAGACCCAAGGAUUGAACCUGUGUCUCCUGCAUUGGAGGCCUACGCUUUAACCUCUGAGCCACCAGGGAGCCACCCGUUUUCCUUGCAUGGCCUGCAGUAAGCCUUUCUCUGUUCCAAAUACCAACAUUUCGGUACUGUUUGGCCUCACUGUGCUGUCAGGCACAAGGAUUUGGCCUUUGGGAACAAGAGAAACAGAGGCCUGAGCCCCUUUCGAGAUUUCCCAGCUGAGCUGAUUGGCUGUGGCAUUAGUCCAUGUAACCAGGUACCCUUUCCAGGCAGAAGCAGCAGACCCAGAGUCACAGCCAAGCGCAAGCACGUACGUCUUUCACGGAGCACUGCGCUCUCUCAGAGCCGAGUCUCGCCUUGGAGGUUGAUGAUGCUCCGAAGUCACGGGGAGCUGGAGCCCAUCUCCACCGACAGCCGUCUGGCUUUUGGAUUCCAGUCACAUUCUUCACCAGCCGAAGGGAGUGCGCAAGGUUGGAUUCUUUACCACUGUGCCACCUGGGAAGCCCUGAUAAUAAUGGCCUGGUUCCAUGCUAGAGAGAUAUGUAGCCUCACUUGUCUGGCAGCUUAUCCAAGGAGACUUCCUUUUCUCUGGUUCCCUGUGGAGUGCAUAUUAAGCCAUUGGAGAGAGAAGAGUGGACAAAUGUGGCUUCCAGGGAAGUUAGAAUCACAACUGAGCAAACAGAAGAAGGAAGUGUGCCCAAAUUAGCUUGCUUUGGACAAGACUUAGAAAAUACACAAGAAAACACCACAUCCACACCUUGAUGGAGUAGGAAUUUCUAAGGAAGAUCUAGAAAAAUCAAGACUGUCUUUGCAGGCAUAAAUUUGAUCUGAUUUGAUAGUACAUUUGGUGGCAAACCUCUGCAGUUUUCCUGGCUUGUACGCAUCACACAAGAGCACAUAUUCAUUAAUGCAAAUGCAUAUUUAAUUGUCCUUAAAAUGAAAUUAUAUAGCAUUUAGAAAUGAAUAAAUGCAUAGCCAUU